Molecule: long non-coding RNA, 529 nt
Organism: Rosa rugosa (rugosa rose)
Lineage: Eukaryota; Viridiplantae; Streptophyta; Magnoliopsida; Rosales; Rosaceae
Exons: 2
Source: RefSeq, a predicted model, not a curated record
AAUGCCUCUUUAUUCAAAAAAGAAGAAGAAGAGAUAGUGCCUCUCUCUCUCUCUCUCUCUCGUACAUAUCUUAUCCUUUCCAGUCACAAAUUCUUGUGGUCUUUAAGUUUGUUUGCAUGUUAUCAUGGUAUAGAUCUACUUCUUCAAUUCAAAAGGGAAUUGGAUCUCUUGGGGUUCGAUCUGAAGAAGCUCGUCGGUGCUCAAAUUGGAAGCGAUCGAUCGGAGUGAGGACUAAGAAGAGAUGGUAGGUGAUUUUUCAGCUGAGGGAUUCGAAUGAUUUGAGAGUGGGUCUGCAAAAUUGAGAGAGAUGCAAAGCAGCAGCAGCAGCAGCAACAUUGAAGCCUAUGGAUUUCCAGAUAACAGUAGAGAUCGCCAGUUAUUUAGGAGUGAAUUCUUCCUAUGGAUCUGGAAUUUGAUGACAAUGAAGCGGUGAUGGUUGCUGAAGAACAGAUCUGGAAAUUGUGACUAAAUGAGAAUAUUAUUAUAUGGGAUUUGACUCAUAAAAUUAAUUAUAUUAAUUAAUCUUUAA